UUAGUGGCGGACGGGUGAGUAACGCGUGGAAAACCUGACGUAUACUGGGGGAUAACACUUAGAAAUAGGUGCUAAUACCGCAUAAGCGCACAGCUUCGCAUGAAGCGGUGUGAAAAACUCUGGUGGUAUACGAUGGUUCCGCGUCUGAUUAGCUAGUUGGUGGGGUAAUGGCCUACCAAGGCAACGAUCAGUAGCCGGCCUGAGAGGGUGAACGGCCACAUUGGGACUGAGACACGGCCCAAACUCCUACGGGAGGCAGCAG
RNAcentral lists this ribosomal RNA (262 nucleotides) under uncultured bacterium. RNAcentral describes it as "partial 16S ribosomal RNA". It matches the Rfam family "Bacterial small subunit ribosomal RNA", at positions 92 to 354 of the family's 1533-position model. The record is from RNAcentral.